UGGGGAAUAUUGCACAAUGGGCGCAAGCCUGAUGCAGCCAUGCCGCGUGUGUGAAGAAGGCCUUCGGGUUGUAAAGCACUUUCAGCGGGGAGGAAGGCGUUAAGGUUAAUAACCUUAUCAAUUGACGUUACCGACAGAAGAAGCACCGGCUAACUCCGUGCCAGCAGCCGCGGUAAUACGGAGGGUGCAAGCGUUAAUCGGAAUUACUGGGCGUAAAGCGCACGCAGGCGGUUGAUUGAGUCAGAUGUGAAAUGCCCGGGCUUAACCCGGGAAUUGCAUCUGAUAAUGGUCAGCAAAAGUCUUGUAGAUGGGGGUAGAAUUCCAUAUGUAGCGGUGAAAUGAGUGGAGAUGUGGAGGAAUACCAGUGGCGAAGGCGGCCCCCUGGACAAAGACUGACGCUAAGGUGCGAAAGCGUGGGGAGCAAACAGG
RNAcentral lists this ribosomal RNA (429 nucleotides) under Chloroflexota bacterium. RNAcentral describes it as "Chloroflexi bacterium partial 16S ribosomal RNA". It matches the Rfam family "Bacterial small subunit ribosomal RNA", at positions 355 to 776 of the family's 1533-position model. Lineage: Bacteria; Bacillati; Chloroflexota. The record is from RNAcentral.